AACUAGUACGAAAAAANAAAAAAAAAAAAAAAAAAAAGACAAGAAAGUAGAAAGAACGAAAGAAAAGAAAAAAAAAAGAAAAAAAAAGAAAAGGAGAAACAAAAAGAAAAAGAAAAAGAGAAAGAAAAGAAGAAAAGAAAAAAGAAAAAAAGAAAAGAAAAAAGAAAAAGUUAAAUGUUUUGCAUUUAUUUAUCUAAUUAAUUGUAUUCAAUAAUCAAUUCAAAGAAACACGUUGUUUUUUGUAAAAGUUAAUUAAACCAUUGGUGGAGGCAUCAUGUGACUGGAUGGUUUGGUCAUUUUCCAAUUCAGGCAAAAUAGUUUUAGCAAGUUGUUUUCCAAGCUCCACUCCCCAUUGAUCUUGUUAUUGAU
RNAcentral lists this ribosomal RNA (369 nucleotides) under uncultured bacterium. Its description in RNAcentral is "partial 16S ribosomal RNA". The record is from RNAcentral.